ACGGCCGUACCAUGCUGAAAAUACCGGCUCUCGUUAGAUCACCGAAGUUAAGCAUCAUUGGGCGCGGUCAGUACUUGGGUGGGUGACCACCUGGGAACACUGCGUGCCGUU
RNAcentral lists this ribosomal RNA (111 nucleotides) under Caerostris darwini. The record is from RNAcentral. Lineage: Eukaryota; Metazoa; Arthropoda; Arachnida; Araneae; Araneidae.